GCCCUUGAGACUCUCUCAGGUCUGCAAAUAAAAGAAGAUGCGCCAACCAUCUGAAAGUUUUUAAUUUUGGAACCCUCACCGGAGCGAUCUCGCCAUGCCUUUUCUCAGGAUGUAUGGCAAAGUGGCAUUGGAUGUCAUCGCAAAGGCAAUACGUGUGGCAAAGGAUAGGGAAGUCCCUCAUCCUUCCUUCUACCGCGGACCUUCGUGAUUUUAUUCCAAACUCUCGAAAUUCCAUUGCCAAUUUCCUUUUCUUCUGGUUGCAACGUAAGCGACCUCUGUUUGGAGUCUGUUUUGAUUUUUGCUGGAAAGGGGCUCUCUUAUACAUAAGAGUUGGAUAAAGAGGACAUUGGCUGCAGAAUCUUCCAGUCCCUCACUCUCUUGUAUCACGAGAGAAGCAUCGACCUGCUAGAGCCUUACGCAGAAGAAGAAGAAGAAGACGAGGAGGAGGAUUUCCGCCAUGGGAAGAGCUCCAUGUUGCGAUAAGGAGAAGGUGAAGAAAGGACAAUGGUCACCAGAGGAAGAUGCCAAACUCAAGUCUUACAUAGAGUAGAACAGAACUGGUGGAAAUUGGAUUGCUCUUCCACAGAAAGUUGGUAUAAUUAUGAAAGUUGGAGGUCUUUGAUUGUCGCCCAGUUGCCGGGAAGAACAGACAACGAUAUAAAGAACUACUGCAAUUCUUGCUCCAAUGGUGUGAGCUUGUGGUUUACAGAAAUUAGUUUUAGCAGUUUGAGUUGUUUGUAAAACAUAAGAAGAAUUAAAU
Long non-coding RNA from Phalaenopsis equestris, 760 nucleotides. RefSeq lists it as uncharacterized. The transcript has 3 exons. NCBI's taxonomy places the organism in Eukaryota, Viridiplantae, Streptophyta, Magnoliopsida, Asparagales, Orchidaceae. The record is from RefSeq and is a predicted model, not a curated record.